GAAUGGUCGAGAUUUCACAACUCAGUGGACUGCUCACGUCCAUGUACCCCUCCUCCACCCCUACAGCACCUGUUCGAUGUCAACGACAUCACUCAGCAAAACACCUGUCACUCAGUCAGAGUCUACGGCAUAGCACAGGGCAAAUAUAGAUAUUCCUGAACUUCUGAAAGAGUGUCCAAAAAAACAAGCAGGUUGAGGCAGCAGUGAAUGAGACGGCAGAACAGACAGAAAGUGAAAGUUCAGCAGCAGCAGAGUUAGCAACACUACAGGCGCUGUAGGUGUGAUGGAAAGAGACACCAUACAAGACACGGAGACAGAAAAAGAAGAAUAGGUGAUGGAGAGAGACACCAGACAAGACACAGAGACAGCAACAGAAGAAUAGGUGAUGGAGAGAGACACCCGACAAGACACAGAGACAGCAACAGAAGAAUUGGUGAUGGAGAGAGACACCAGACAAGACACAGAGGCAGCAACAGAAGAAUAGGUGAUUGAGAGAGACACCAGACAAGACACAGAGACAGCAACAGAAUAAUAGAUGAUGGAGAGCGACACCAGACAAAACACUGAGACAGCAACAGAAGUAUAGGUAAUGGAGAGAGACACCAGACAAAACACUGAGACAGCAACAGAAGAAUAGGUGAUGGAGAGAGACACCAGACAAGACACAGAGACAGCAACAGAAGGAUAGCGCAUGAUGGCAACACCAGAAGAACAAAAACAGGCCAUAUCAGAAGAGGAUUGAAAAAGGAGGCAAACAAGAACCUGAGACAAUAACGUCUUAAUGUUUACAUACUGUUUUAACCACUUCAUAUGUACUCUACCAUUCAAAAGAUUGGAGUCACUUAGAAAUGUCCUUGUUUUUGAUAGAAAAACAUUUUUUGUCCGUUAAAAUAACUAUAAAUUUAUCAGAAAUACAGUGUAGACAUUGUUAAUGUUGUAAAUGAGGCCCAUUACAGAGGCCCAUUAUCAGCAACCAUCCCUCCUGUGUUCUAAUGGCACAUUGUGUCAGCUAAUCAAAGUUGAUCAUUUUAAAAGGCUAAUUGAUCAUUAGAAAGCCAUUUUGCAAUUAUGUUAGCACAGCUGCAUACUGUUGUUCUGAUUAAAGAAGCAAUAAAACUGGCCUUUAGACUA
Oncorhynchus masou masou (cherry salmon) is the source of this 1131-nucleotide long non-coding RNA. RefSeq lists it as uncharacterized. The record is from RefSeq and is a predicted model, not a curated record. The transcript has 2 exons. NCBI's taxonomy places the organism in Eukaryota, Metazoa, Chordata, Actinopteri, Salmoniformes, Salmonidae.